This 585-nucleotide ribosomal RNA is filed under the name Triticum aestivum (bread wheat). RNAcentral describes it as "partial small subunit ribosomal RNA". The record is from RNAcentral. Lineage: Eukaryota; Viridiplantae; Streptophyta; Magnoliopsida; Poales; Poaceae.
AUGGAGGUCUCUCUAGGUGUUUUAGUGUGGAAUGUAAGGGGGCUUAAUAACCCUGCUAGGAGGUGCUCGAUCAGACUGUUCUCCCAGUCCUACAACAUCUCUCUAGUUUGUUUGCAAGAAUCUAAGAUGGAACUGUUGGAUGCGGCGGUGGUUUGUGAGACUUUGGGUCCCGCUUUUGAUGGCUUUGAUUUUCUUCCGGCGGAAGGCACGAGAGGUGGCAUUUUGAUGGCAUGGAAAUCGGACAAGCUACGGCUCUCCAAUAUUCAGAAAGAUGAAUUUAUGAUCUCUGCUCAGGUUCUCUCACUGGAGGAUGGUAGAGAAUGGAUGGUUUCCUCAGUAUAUGGGCCUCAAGGUGAUGAUGAUAAAUUGCGAUUUCUGGAGCAGCUGCUGCAGUUUGGUGAGCAAGUUCACUUGCCUUGGAUCUUAAAUGGUGACUUUAACUUGAUCUGUUCCGAGGAGGAGCGCAGCUCAGGGAGGGGUAACAGAAGACUCAUGUCUAAAUUCAGACACACCAUUAACAGACUGGGGCUGCAUGAUAUGCCGAUGAUGGGCAGGCGAUUCACUUGGUGCAAUCAGCAGGAGUGA